RNAcentral lists this ribosomal RNA (1016 nucleotides) under Parasagitta elegans. RNAcentral's name for it is "16S ribosomal RNA". The record is from RNAcentral. Lineage: Eukaryota; Metazoa; Chaetognatha; Sagittoidea; Aphragmophora; Sagittidae.
UUCGAACAUAUUUUUGAAAAAAAUAAGACCUGUUAAGUGAUUGUAAAUCUAGUUAACUGCGCAAACAUGUUUUUUACACAAACAAAAACAUAGUUGAUGUUUCUAUUUCCUUUUGUAUAAUGAAAGCAGGAUAGAACUUGUAGGUUCCCGCCCCCGUACAAAACAUUUAAAGGUUUAACGUUGGUGUCCAGUACAAAAAUUGUAUAUCGACUACAAAAAACUACCUAAACAACUAAGAAGAAUAACUUAAAAAAUAAAUAUCAGAUAACACGCUCUGUCAAAUGUUUAUAUAGUCCACAUAUUUAGUCUUUACACUAGGCAUUAGACAAUAACAGUAUCCUAUAUUUUAUAAUAUAUUAGUUUGUGAUAUACAAUCUGCUUUGAGUUAAAUAAUGAUGCGCACAAUAAAUAAAUCUUCCGAAAGUUUCACAAAAACCUUUUCUUUUAAUAUAAAAGGUAGACCCUGCUAAAGAAAAGAAGUAGCAUAAUUAAUAGCCACUUUAUUGGUGGAGAGUUUGAAUGGGCACCCGAGAGGACUGCAGGUCAUUGACCUUUUUGCCCCUUAUUAUGAGUAAAUAUCAUUGGUGAAAAUACCUAUAAAAUCAAGAAAGGCGAUAAGACCCUAAAAGCUCUAAAUGUAGUUGUUGGGGCAACAAGAACUUCAAUAAUUCUUUAAACCAGCUUUUAAUUUAGUUACUUUAGGGAUAACAGCGUAAUAUCUAUUAUCAAGACCGCAUUAAUAACAGAGAGUACGACCUCGAUGUUGAACUAAAGGGAAACUAGUGUACAUACUAGUGUCAAUCGUCUGUUCGCCGAUCCUCCUUUACGUGAUUUGAGUUCAAACCGGCGUGAGCCAGGUUGGUUUCUACCUUCUUAAUUUAUUUAAUGUUUUAGUACGAAAGGAAAUAACAUUGGUUGCGUUUUAAGUUAUUUUUAAUAUUUUCUUGUCGAGAAAAAGAACUUCUAAUUCUGCUUAUAUAGUUUAACUUAAAUAUUUUUCUUGUAAAAAAAAGUAA